Molecule: ribosomal RNA, 253 nt
Filed under: uncultured bacterium
Lineage: Bacteria
Description: partial 16S ribosomal RNA
Rfam family: Bacterial small subunit ribosomal RNA
Source: RNAcentral
UACGUAGGGGGCUAGCGUUGUCCGGAUUUAUUGGGCGUAAAGAGCUCGUAGGGGGUUCGGUAAGUCGGAUGUGAAAGCCCGGGGCUUAACUCCGGGUCUGCAUUCGAUACGGGCAGGCUAGAGUUCGGUAGGGGAGAUCGGAAUUCCUGGUGUAGCGGUGAAAUGCGCAGAUAUCAGGAGGAACACCGGUGGCGAAGGCGGAUCUCUGGGCCGAUACUGACGCUGAGGAGCGAAAGCGUGGGGAGCGAACAGG